GAGGGCAGAGCUCAGGGGCAGAGUGCAUGCCUGACGUGCACGAGGCCCUGGGUUCAAUCCCCGGUACCUCCA
This 72-nucleotide transfer RNA is filed under the name Camelus bactrianus (Bactrian camel). It matches the Rfam family "tRNA". Rfam says of the family: Transfer RNA (tRNA) molecules are approximately 80 nucleotides in length. RNAcentral also lists the same sequence under 2 other names. The record is from Rfam by way of RNAcentral. Lineage: Eukaryota; Metazoa; Chordata; Mammalia; Artiodactyla; Camelidae.